AUGGCUGUCCUGGUGCUGUUUCUCUGCCUGGUGGCCUUUUCAAGCUGUGUCUGGUCCCAAGUGCAGCUGAAGAAGUCAGGACCUGGCCUGGUGCAGCCCUCACAGACCCUGUCCAUCACCUGCACUGUUUCUGGUUUCUCAUUAACCAGCUAUGGUGUACACUGGGUUCGUCAACCUCCAGGAAAGGUUCUGGAGUGGAUGGGAGUAAUACGGAGUAGUGGGAGCACAGAGUAUAAUUCAGCUCUCAAAUUCCGACUGAGCAUCAGCAGGGACACCUCCAAGAGCCAAGUUUUCUUAAAAAUGAGCAGUUUUCAAACUGAUGACACAGCCAUGUACUACUGUGCCAAAAACACAAUGAGAGAAGUCCAUUGUGAACCUGAACAAAAACUUACCUAG
Molecule: non-coding RNA, 396 nt
Organism: Apodemus sylvaticus (European woodmouse)
Lineage: Eukaryota; Metazoa; Chordata; Mammalia; Rodentia; Muridae
Source: the annotation of a RefSeq genome assembly